UACGUAGGUGGCAAGCGUUGUCCGGAUUUAUUGGGCGUAAAGCGAGCGCAGGCGGUUCCUUAAGUCCGAUGUGAAAGCCCCCGGCGCAACCUGGGAAGGUCAUUGGAAACUGGGGAACUUGAGUGCAGAAGAGGAGAGUGGAAUUCCAUGUGUAGCGGUGAAAUGCGUAGAUAUAUGGAGGAACACCAGUGGCGAAGGCGCCUCUCUGGUCUGUAACUGACGCUGAGGCUCGAAAGCGUGGGUAGCAAACAGG
RNAcentral lists this ribosomal RNA (253 nucleotides) under uncultured bacterium. Its description in RNAcentral is "partial 16S ribosomal RNA". It matches the Rfam family "Bacterial small subunit ribosomal RNA", at positions 524 to 776 of the family's 1533-position model. The record is from RNAcentral.